RNAcentral lists this long non-coding RNA (1542 nucleotides) under Nothobranchius furzeri (turquoise killifish). RNAcentral's name for it is "lncRNA (ENSNFUG00015011382.1)". The record is from RNAcentral. Lineage: Eukaryota; Metazoa; Chordata; Actinopteri; Cyprinodontiformes; Nothobranchiidae.
UCAUCAUCUUCAUCAUCAUCAUCACAUCAUCUUCAUCAUCACAUCAUCAUCACAUCAUCAUCAUCUUCAUCACCUUCAUCAUCAUCUUCAUCAUCACAUCAUCAUCAUCAUCGUCAUCAUCAUCAUCACAUCUUCAUCACCUUCAUCAUCAUCUUCAUCAUCACAUCACAUCAUCAUCACCAUCAUCUUCAUCACAUCAUCUUCAUCACCUUCAUCAUCAUCUUCAUCAUCACAUCAUCAUCAUCACCAUCACCAUCAUCUUCAUCACAUCAUCUUCAUCAUCAUCUUCAUCACCUUCAUCACAUCAUCAUCACCAUACUUUUCAUCACCAUCAUCUUCAUCAUCACAUCAUCACCAUCAUCAUCAUCAUCAUCAUCAUCACCACCACCAUCAUCAUCAUCAUCAUCAUCAUCAUCACACCAUCAUCAUCAUCACUUCAUCAUCACCAUACUCUUCAUCAUCAUCAUCUUCAUCAUCAUCAUCACAUCAUCUUCAUCAUCACAUCAUCAUCACCAUACUCUUCAUCAUCUUCAUCAUCAUCAUCACAUCAUCUUCAUCAUCACAUCAUCAUCAUCAUCUUCAUCACCUUCAUCACAUCAUUAUCACCAUACUCUUCAUCACCAUCAUCUUCAUCAUCAUCACCAUCAUCAUCAUAUCAUUAGCAUCAUUAUCAUCAUCUUCAUCAUCACAUCAUCACCAUCAUCAUCGUCAUCAUCAUCAUCAUCAUCACCAUUAUCGUCAUCAUCUUCAUCAUCACAUCAUCACCACCAUCAUCGUCAUCAUCAUCACCAUCAUCGUCAUACUCAUCAUCAGCAGCAGCAGCAGCAUCAUCAUCAUCUUCUUCAUCAUCACACCAUCUUCAUCACCAUCAUCUUCAUCAUCAUCAUCAUCAUCAUCACCAUCAUCUUCGUCAUCACAUCAUCAAAUCAUCUUCAUCAUCACCAUCAUCUUCAUCAUCAUCACAUCAUCUUCAUCUUCAUUAUCACAUCAUCAUCAUCUUCAUCUUCAUCAUCAUCAUCAUCACCAUCAUCUUCAUCAUCACAUCAUCAUCAUCUUCAUCAUCAUCAUCAUCACCAUCAUCUUCAUCAUCACAUCAUCAUCAUCAAAUCAUUAUCAUCUUCAUCAUCACCAUCAUCUUCAUCAUCAUCAUCAUCAUCAUCAUCAUCACCAUCAUCUUCAUCAUCACAUCAUCAUCAUCUUCAUCAUCACCUCAUCAUCACCAUCAUCUUUAUCAUCACCAUCGUCUUCGUCAUCAUCACCAUCAUCAUCAUCAUCACAUCAUCAUCAUCAUCAUCACCAUCACCAUCAUCUUCAUCAUCACAUCAUCAUCAUCUUCAUCAUUGCAUCAUCAUCAUCACAUCAUCAUCAUCUUCAUCAUCACAUCAUCAUCAUCACCAUCAUCACCAUCAUCAUCAUCACAUCAUCAUCAUCAUCUUCAUCAUCACCAUCAUCUUCAUCAUCAUCAUGACCAUCAUCUUCAUCACCAUCUACUUCAUCGCAUCAUCACCAUCAGCAGCAGGUAGAACUACAAUUCUAGAAUGA